UUAAGCGACUAAGCGUACACGGUGGAUGCCCUGGCAGUCAGAGGCGAUGAAGGACGUGCUAAUCUGCGAAAAGCGUCGGUAAGGUGAUAUGAACCGUUAUAACCGGCGAUGUCCGAAUGGGGAAACCCAGUGUGAUUCGUCACACUAUCGUUAACUGAAUACAUAGGUUAACGAGGCGAACCGGGGGAACUGAAACAUCUAAGUACCCCGAGGAAAAGAAAUCAACCGAGAUUCCCCCAGUAGCGGCGAGCGAACGGGGAGCAGCCCAGAGUCUGAAUCAGCUUGUGUGUUAGUGGAACGGUCUGGAAAGUCCGACGGUACAGGGUGAUAGUCCCGUACACCAAAAUGCACAGGCUGUGAACUCGAAGAGUAGGGCGGGACACGUGGUAUCCUGUCUGAAUAUGGGGGGACCAUCCUCCAAGGCUAAAUACUCCUGACUGACCGAUAGUGAACCAGUACCGUGAGGGAAAGGCGAAAAGAACCCCGGCGAGGGGAGUGAAAAAGAACCUGAAACCGUGUACGUACAAGCAGUGGGAGCACCUUCGGGUGUGACUGCGUACCUUUUGUAUAAUGGGUCAGCGACUUAUAUUCUGUAGCAAGGUUAACCGUAUAGGGGAGCCGAAGGGAAACCGAGUCUUAACUGGGCGUUAAGUUGCAGGGUAUAGACCCGAAACCCGGUGAUCUAGCCAUGGGCAGGUUGAAGGUUGGGUAACACUAACUGGAGGACCGAACCGACUAAUGUUGAAAAAUUAGCGGAUGACUUGUGGCUGGGGGUGAAAGGCCAAUCAAACCGGGAGAUAGCUGGUUCUCCCCGAAAGCUAUUUAGGUAGCGCCUCGUGAACUCAUCUUCGGGGGUAGAGCACUGUUUCGGCUAGGGGGCCAUCCCGGCUUACCAACCCGAUGCAAACUACGAAUACCGAAGAAUGUUAUCACGGGAGACACACGGCGGGUGCUAACGUCCGUCGUGAAGAGGGAAACAACCCAGACCGCCAGCUAAGGUCCCAAAGUCAUGGUUAAGUGGGAAACGAUGUGGGAAGGCACAGACAGCCAGGAUGUUGGCUUAGAAGCAGCCAUCAUUUAAAGAAAGCGUAAUAGCUCACUGGUCGAGUCGGCCUGCGCGGAAGAUGUAACGGGGCUAAACCAUGCACCGAAGCUGCGGCAGCGACACUAUGUGUUGUUGGGUAGGGGAGCGUUCUGUAAGCCUGUGAAGGUGUGCUGUGAGGCAUGCUGGAGGUAUCAGAAGUGCGAAUGCUGACAUAAGUAACGAUAAAGCGGGUGAAAAGCCCGCUCGCCGGAAGACCAAGGGUUCCUGUCCAACGUUAAUCGGGGCAGGGUGAGUCGACCCCUAAGGCGAGGCCGAAAGGCGUAGUCGAUGGGAAACAGGUUAAUAUUCCUGUACUUGGUGUUACUGCGAAGGGGGGACGGAGAAGGCUAUGUUGGCCGGGCGACGGUUGUCCCGGUUUAAGCGUGUAGGCUGGUUUUCCAGGCAAAUCCGGAAAAUCAAGGCUGAGGCGUGAUGACGAGGCACUACGGUGCUGAAGCAACAAAUGCCCUGCUUCCAGGAAAAGCCUCUAAGCAUCAGGUAACAUCAAAUCGUACCCCAAACCGACACAGGUGGUCAGGUAGAGAAUACCAAGGCGCUUGAGAGAACUCGGGUGAAGGAACUAGGCAAAAUGGUGCCGUAACUUCGGGAGAAGGCACGCUGAUAUGUAGGUGAAGCCCCUGCGGGUGGAGCUGAAAUCAGUCGAAGAUACCAGCUGGCUGCAACUGUUUAUUAAAAACACAGCACUGUGCAAACACGAAAGUGGACGUAUACGGUGUGACGCCUGCCCGGUGCCGGAAGGUUAAUUGAUGGGGUUAGCGGCAACGCGAAGCUCUUGAUCGAAGCCCCGGUAAACGGCGGCCGUAACUAUAACGGUCCUAAGGUAGCGAAAUUCCUUGUCGGGUAAGUUCCGACC
RNAcentral lists this ribosomal RNA (1958 nucleotides) under human gut metagenome. RNAcentral describes it as "bacterial LSU rRNA". It matches the Rfam family "Bacterial large subunit ribosomal RNA", at positions 1 to 1988 of the family's 2925-position model. The record is from RNAcentral.